GUAACAAGAAAUACAAACUAUACAGUAAUGAAGAAACAAAGCACAACACAGUCAUCAACCAAUAGCAGUUUACAUUGCCAGAUUACAUUUUCUCUGUUUCACUCAAUAACCACACCUCAGAAAAAAGCAACAGAAAAUUGCUUCCUAAAUGCUCUCCUAACAAUAACCUCAAGUCCAAAUCAACAUUAACUACAAUUUUAAAAACAGGAAAAAAAAAAAAAGAGCUUUGGCUCUGCACAAUCACACAAAGAAUUUUAAACUUUGAGCCUCACAUGAGUGAAGACAAAGCUUUGACAGAACACAACCUAGCUGCAAGCUACAAGUCACUAAAUUUCACUAAAUUAAUCAUCUCUACUCGUCCUAACCAAAAUAAACAAAAGCUGCAAUGACAAUCGCAAAUACAACAAAAACAAUAUCUACAAUACAUCAAAACCAAACUAAUUAAACACACACAAAAAGAAUGAUGGCACGAGAUGCGAGUAAAAGGAGCUCUAUUGUAAUCUCACUUGCGAUAAAUGACAAAAGAAGAACUUCAAGUGGUCCUCUUCCCUGAACCAAUUAGCUUAGGAGAGGUGAAUUCGCAGUACCUCAUCUCGUUAUUUCACUUUCUAAUUGGAUCAUACCAAUUUCUCAGUAACCAAACACAGAUGUAAAAAAGAAAAUGGAGGAUUGAUUUGUAUUUUGAAGGAAAAUUUUACCCGGAUCUUAGCGAGGACGCCCU
Molecule: unclassified non-coding RNA, 721 nt
Filed under: Hevea brasiliensis (rubber tree)
Lineage: Eukaryota; Viridiplantae; Streptophyta; Magnoliopsida; Malpighiales; Euphorbiaceae
Source: RNAcentral